GCCAGGAAGAGGAAGAAGAGAGGGCCUAAGAGCAGUGGGAAUGGGAACAUGGAGGAAAGCCCUAAAAUUGUUUCCCCCUCCAGCAAUGGAGGUGGAAAUAUGGUUUGGUUUUUCCCGAUGCCUCCCAUUCCUAUCGUUCUUAAGCGCUCCUUCCUCUUCCUUUGGCUU
Molecule: microRNA precursor, 168 nt
Filed under: Oryza brachyantha (malo sina)
Lineage: Eukaryota; Viridiplantae; Streptophyta; Magnoliopsida; Poales; Poaceae
Description: MIR2118 microRNA precursor family
Rfam family: MIR2118 microRNA precursor family
Source: Rfam by way of RNAcentral